Long non-coding RNA from Biomphalaria glabrata, 425 nucleotides. RefSeq lists it as uncharacterized. The record is from RefSeq and is a predicted model, not a curated record. NCBI's taxonomy places the organism in Eukaryota, Metazoa, Mollusca, Gastropoda, Planorbidae. The transcript has 4 exons.
CAGAAAUCUGGCCUAAGAGUUUGAUAAAACGAUCGUUUCCGCUUCCUAUUCUUUCUUUUAGGUUGCUGCUUUGCAGUAUCAUUGAAGAAAAUGAGAGCCAAGUGGAGAAAGAAGCGCAUGCGAAGGUUGAAGCGUAAGCGAAGAAAGAUGAGGGCUAGAUCCAAGUAAAUCUUUGUCCAACCUGUUGUGUGUUUGUUUGUCAUGAUGUGUGCAUCAGAUGCCAGUCACAGCUGCUUGACCACCAGAAACAAAGGCUGUCAAUAACAGAUCAUUUCUAGCAACUGGUAUUUGUAUUGAACAAACUUGUGUGCCAUAAUGGACAUUACCUCUCACUGCACAAGAUCUGUGGUGUGUUGUGGUCAUUAUGUUCUUGAUUUGUGUCUGAGACCGCAUCCUGUCCUGUAAUAAAUAUUGGCUUUCAUGUU